Habropoda laboriosa is the source of this 354-nucleotide long non-coding RNA. RefSeq lists it as uncharacterized. The record is from RefSeq and is a predicted model, not a curated record. The transcript has 4 exons. Lineage: Eukaryota; Metazoa; Arthropoda; Insecta; Hymenoptera; Apidae.
UUUCAAUUUUAUUUUGUAAUUGCAACAGACAUUAUGAAACAGAAAAUUGAAUCUCUUGGCGGGUGAUAGCUUUAUUGAGGUUAAAAAUUUCUUGGACUCAGAUGGACUUAGUUAAGAGGUCCAGAUGGCUGAGGUGUAUGAAUUUAGCAGCGGUCAGCAGCUGCUAAUUUAAAACAACAUAAAUGAAGGACACAGAGAAAUAGAUUGAAUCCUGGGAUUUAAGAGACUUGAUAAAAAGCAUGAAAUAGUGAAGGCACAAGAGUAUUGCGGCGUUAGUCAAUGGAUAUUGAUGCACUAAGUCUUAUAUCUAAGUGAAAUGGAACUUACAGGCCACCUCAUGAAUCAAGGAAAGGA